This 2612-nucleotide long non-coding RNA is filed under the name Nicotiana benthamiana. RNAcentral's name for it is "long non-coding RNA (NBEN_LNC039525)". The record is from RNAcentral. Lineage: Eukaryota; Viridiplantae; Streptophyta; Magnoliopsida; Solanales; Solanaceae.
GGAAGACCGCAUUUACGCUAAGUGUUGGCAUAUCUCUAAUAAGAUAAGGUACUUGGGAUCUAUUUAUUUUUCAAUACAAUCCCAAUUAAAAUACUAUAUAUCAACACUUAAGUGUUAGAAUAAAGCUAAAUUUCUUGAUUUUGUUAUAGUCUGCCAAAGAAAAAAUUACUAAUUGUCAUGUCUGCCAAAUGUUUGGAUAAGUUUGAAUUUUUAUAUUGCAAUUUAAAGUUUAUUUGAGCCAAUGAUUUGCAAUUGUUAAUUUUUAUGUUAACUCAAAUUAUUCUCACUGAAAUAUUAUAAAGUUUUUAAUCGGCUUUGAAUGUAUUUAGUUUUUUAACUCUUAAGCUAUGUCCUGCGGACUCUCCAAAAUGUAGCCGCACCCGUGUCAGAUCCUUCAAAAAUGCACUACUUUUGGAGAAUACGACACGUAUCCUCCCACAUUUUCGAAGAGUCGGAGUAACAUAGCUUUUAAGUGACAUAAUUAUCAGACACCCCCCUUCUAAGUAUAAAAAAUAUUCUAAUAUGUAAUAUUCAUCACCUUUUCUUAUUAUAAGUUUAUGAUGAGAUGUUUAAUUGGAAGUGGAAGACAUAAAUUCUUAGUGAUGAUCAUUUUCAAGAAGGUAUUCAUAGAUAAAGUAUAGCCUAUAAAAUUAAUAUACGAUAAUUCAUACCUAAGUAAUUCCCAUGUAUUAGAUGUAGUAUGAACAAACCUAAAGAGUUUCUUCUUCUUGAUUUUCCUACAAGAAAUGGAAAUAUAGACAGUAUACCUUAUAUCAUUGUCUCUAUUCCUCUUUUUGGGGCUCAAUUUUUUAGUGUUGCUGGUUACGUUGUCAUAUGGGUAUCAAUACGUGCUAAUGUUCGAGUAUCAAGUGUAACAAAGCGGUUUACUCGAGAGGUUUUGCAGGUUCCUUUUCACUUGUCAACAUCAACAACACUAAGGUCCUUUGUUGUAUAAAUUGACUUGAGAUCUUUAUGAUGUAGAUAGAUGUGGAUUUUCAGCAUUGAUAGUCGUUGGAAUGUCUGUAAUGGAUGUUUCCAUCCUUUAUGCAACUUUGCAUGUGGUUGGGGUGGAUUUGUAGUGAUUGCUGUGGCAUCUCAUACAAUUUCAAGUUUCUCAAAUUUUGUCCAUAAAUUUGUUAUUUUCUCUCCUAUCAUGUAUUAAUACAAUAAGGCUUACUACUUGCUAGUGAUAAAUUAUGUGUUGAUUGAACUUGAGAAUAGGGUGUAAAUAAUAGCAAUUGUUUGGCUCUCUAUCUUUCCAUCUAUAAAUGCACUUUUUCAUAUUAAACAACUUUACAAGGUAUAGUUUAAAAUUUCUAAACCACAUGAAUGAUUUGGCAUGCAUACCAUAUAUUAGAUGAACUUGGGAUUGCUGGUGAAUUCUAAGAAUCAAGCAAGAAAAUUAUUGCACGUCUGGUUGCAGACUCAAUGAUGCAUUCGUAGGGUAACGAUACAAUAUUAUUUACUAAUCUUCAAACUGAAUCAUAUCAACGACUUGCAGGAUCCUUUGGUCGAGGCUGCCAAAGAAGAGGCAAGUUCUAUUAGUAACAUUUUCACACGGGCGUUUCAUUAAAAUAAAGUACAGUACAAUACAAGGUGAUGUCUUAAUUACUAUGAAUUGUACAUAUAUUUAGCUAUACUUUAUUAAUCAUAACUUUAGAAAAAAAUCUGCUUUUUCAGGUGGACUAAUCCUUUUAGGCCAAGUACUUCUUUAGCAUUAUUCCAGUAUAUUGCAAAAGCUCAGCUAUCCAAAUGUACAAUUCACUGGUGAGUAAACUUGCAAAGUAUCACCUACAAAAUUGAAUAUAAAAAAAUAUGAGCAGGUAUUCUUCAGAGUCCAGAUCACACAAUACCAAUAUGGUCUUAUUUUGAACCUCUAGCCAAUUAUGGAAACUCCUAAGAUUAUAACAUAUAAGUUAGAAGAGUUUCCUGAUGGCAAAUGUGUGCUGAUCUCCAACUCAAAAAAUAGAUUCACGGAGCCAUUACCGAGAAUAUCUUCUUGCAAAUUAUAUAUCAUGUGGUAGAAUUCACAUUUUUGCAAUAGAACCAACAUUUUUUCUAUCAAUGUGGAAUGUCUGCACCUUAUAAUUCAGUGUUAGAAUCAAUAUAGAUACACUUACGGUCUUACAGAACGACAUUGGCGAGGGACAUUAAAAGGACAAUCUGAUCUUUCUCUGUUGCUUGGACCAUUUGAUUUUUCUAUGCUGCUCUAUACUUUGUCAUUCAUACCACAAAGCGAUUAAGCUACAUAUACAGUAGCACAUGAGUAAAAAGAUCGGCUAACUUCGACAGAUGAAUUAAGAAAGAUAAAUACUUCAUCUAUUUUUCAAGUUUCUUCAUUUCACCAACAAACACAAAGAAGGUUAACAAUAAACUAUUAUCAAUGUGACUUCUUUCCUUAUAAAUUGUACUCAAAACUUGAUGUUUAGUUUUUUUUUAAUUGUUUAUAGGUCUUGGAGAGCACCAUACGUCUAAGCUAUCUUCACAGUUACUGGAAAAAAUUCUUGGAAUAGUAUUGUCAUUUCGUCUUGAUCAUACUUAGGCUAAUAUUAGUCCCAACGAAAUUCAUUUAUUUAUUUUUUAUUUUAAUUCAUUUGAAUUCGAUCCCUAAA